Molecule: ribosomal RNA, 253 nt
Filed under: uncultured bacterium
Lineage: Bacteria
Description: partial 16S ribosomal RNA
Rfam family: Bacterial small subunit ribosomal RNA
Source: RNAcentral
UACGUGGGGUGCGAGCGUUAAUCGGAAUUACUGGGCGUAAAGUGUGCGCAGGUGGCUGAGCAAGUCGAGUGUGAAAUCCCCGGGCUUAACUUGGGAAUUGCGCUCGAAACUACUUGGCUCGAGUGUGGCAGAGGAAGGUGGAAUUCCAGGUGUAGCGGUGAAAUGCGUAGAGAUCUGGAGGAACACCGAUGGCGAAGGCAGCCUUCUGGGCCAACACUGACGCUCAUGCACGAAAGCGUGGGGAGCAAACAGG